RNAcentral lists this long non-coding RNA (509 nucleotides) under Ananas comosus (pineapple). RNAcentral's name for it is "long non-coding RNA (ACOM_LNC040536)". Lineage: Eukaryota; Viridiplantae; Streptophyta; Magnoliopsida; Poales; Bromeliaceae. The record is from RNAcentral.
CGACGAUUAUUAUGUGGUCUAAUUUGAUUAGGAUUAAUCUCGUUUUUAAAUUGAAAAGCUAAUUAGAGAUAAAUUCUAAUCAUAUUAGAAUAACAAUUAAUAAUCGAUUUGGUCUUAUCUCUUACGUAUCCUAUUAGGAUUUUAAAAUCCCUUAUAAAUAUACUGGCGAUCUCACAAAAAAAAAAAAAAAAAAAACAAGAAAAUUAAGAGAGAAACGUAGAAACUACAUUCUCCCUUAACCUAUUAUUCAACAGAGUCUUGAACGGUGGAUUGGAGAUCGUGCUCGUUUGUAAUUCAAUCCACCACAAAUUUGGAGGAUAGAAGAUUUUCAAAGACGAUCCGAGGAUACGUAAAUCAAUCUCUACGAUCCGAGCUCGUCGUGUUCUAACGCAAGUUGCUUCUGCUAAAAGGUACAAACGAAUACUUCCGCUGCGUUCUACAAUUCUAAUUUCAUACAAACCAAAAAAUAAUAAUAAAAAUAAUAAUAAUAAUAAUAAUUGGUGGCAAAU